This is a non-coding RNA of Caenorhabditis brenneri, 74 nucleotides long. The record is from the annotation of a GenBank genome assembly. Lineage: Eukaryota; Metazoa; Nematoda; Chromadorea; Rhabditida; Rhabditidae.
GCGCAGGUGGCGCAGUCGGUAGCGCAUCUGACUGUCAAGCAGACCGACCCUCAGGUUCGAACCCGCAUGGUGCC